This 253-nucleotide ribosomal RNA is filed under the name uncultured bacterium. Its description in RNAcentral is "partial 16S ribosomal RNA". It matches the Rfam family "Bacterial small subunit ribosomal RNA", at positions 524 to 776 of the family's 1533-position model. The record is from RNAcentral.
UACAGAGGUCUCAAGCGUUGUUCGGAUUCAUUGGGCGUAAAGGGUGCGUAGGUGGCGCGCUAAGUCAGGUGUGAAAUUUCGGAGCUUAACUCCGAAACUGCAUUUGAUACUGGCGGGCUUGAGUGUGGCAGAGGGGGGUGGAAUUCCGCGUGUAGCAGUGAAAUGCGUAGAGAUGCGGAGGAACACCGAUGGCGAAGGCAGCCCCCUGGGCUGACACUGACGCUGAGGCACGAAAGCGUGGGGAGCAAACAGG